This is a small nucleolar RNA of Delphinapterus leucas (beluga whale), 118 nucleotides long. Its record names the gene SNORA70. It matches the Rfam family "Small nucleolar RNA SNORA70". From Rfam's summary of the family: snoRNA U70 seems to be exclusive to mammals and is a member of the H/ACA class of snoRNA which contain H (ANANNA) and ACA box motifs. Lineage: Eukaryota; Metazoa; Chordata; Mammalia; Artiodactyla; Monodontidae. The record is from Ensembl.
CAGUUCAAGUAAGAAAACUAGUAAAGCCCAGUGUGCUUCGGCUGCAAAGAGCAGCCUCCUGGGCAGUGGAGGCACCAGGUGCUUGUCUGGGCUGCCCGAGGGGACCUGGGAGACGGUC